This is a non-coding RNA of Pelobates cultripes (western spadefoot toad), 570 nucleotides long. Lineage: Eukaryota; Metazoa; Chordata; Amphibia; Anura; Pelobatidae. The record is from the annotation of a GenBank genome assembly.
CUGUAGCCUGUUCCCUUGCAAAAGGUUUAAAUGUCACUUCACAGGCCCUAGAAGAGCUACUUAUGGACAGCCAGGCAAAUAAGAAGGCAAUCCUUGAGAAUAGAGCAGCCAUUGACUACUUACUAAUGAAACAUGACUUAGGCUGUGAAGUUAUUGGAGGUAUGUGCUGUUUUAACCUAUCUGACCAUGGCACUAUGAUCCAUAAACAUAUAAAGAUUUAUAUGACUUAGUACAGGAUAUAAAAUAGGAUACUGGCUUCUUUGGGGAUUGGGAUUGGACAUUUGGGCCAGGAACAUGGUUAACUUUACUAAUUAAGAAGAUUUUGUACUUUUUGCUAUUAGCUGUAUUUGUCAUUAUGGCUAUUUUUUCUAACCUUUAGAUUUUUUUCAUGUCUACUAACCUCUCUAUGUAAAAGCAAACCUACUAUUGGUCGUACCUUAACUUACAUUCCAGCUCCGACUUCGGAAAGGUUUUAUGAUGUUACCUCGCCUAACAAAUAAAGGAACUCGCCUCUGCUGAUUCUGGUGGUCUCUCAGUCCAAGGGAACCGUGGUGAAGCAAUAAAUUAAAG